Long non-coding RNA from Mauremys reevesii (Reeves's turtle), 494 nucleotides. RefSeq lists it as uncharacterized. The record is from RefSeq and is a predicted model, not a curated record. The transcript has 3 exons. NCBI's taxonomy places the organism in Eukaryota, Metazoa, Chordata, Testudines, Geoemydidae.
CCUGGUAUCCGCAGUGACCAAUCAUCUACACCUUCUCUUGCCGUACCUGUUGUCCUGAAUGGUGUUUUUGUCUGAGUUGUACUAUAAGUUCUCCGGGGCAGGAAUAUGAUCCUGCUUUCUAAGGGUCCAUUUACAUUUACAACAUAAAUGAAUUAAAAAAAGGCCAAGGGAAAGGAAGCAAGCGACGGUAAGCUGCAUGGAUCAAAGAGCUUCGUCGAGUGUUGAGGCUUUGAGGAGACAAUCAUCGAGAGAGUUGCCCUGGAGUCCUUCAUGGAGUGGAGUAAGUCAUUUGUGGGAGGCAAACAGUUUGUCACCGUCGAAGGGGAGAUUCUGAAUGGUACUCUGGACCUCCCGGGGAAAGGAAGAGGACAAGAGCCAUGACCCUCGGUGCAUCAUGACUGCUGUGGCAGUGGACUGUGCCGCAGUAUUGGCCACAUCAAGGGCAGCUUGAAGAGCGGUGCGGGAGAUUAUUUGUCCCUCGGAAACUAUGGCUG